UCAACUUGAGAGUUUGAUCCUGGCUCAGAACGAACGCUGGCGGCAGGCCUAACACAUGCAAGUCGAGCGCACCUUCGGGUGAGCGGCGGACGGGUUAGUAACGCGUGGGAAUAUACCCAGAUCUACGGAAUAGCCUCGGGAAACUGAGAGUAAUACCGUAUACGCCCUUCGGGGGAAAGAUUUAUCGGA
This 189-nucleotide ribosomal RNA is filed under the name Boseongicola sp. RNAcentral describes it as "partial 16S ribosomal RNA". It matches the Rfam family "Bacterial small subunit ribosomal RNA", at positions 1 to 214 of the family's 1533-position model. The record is from RNAcentral. Lineage: Bacteria; Pseudomonadati; Pseudomonadota; Alphaproteobacteria; Rhodobacterales; Paracoccaceae.